UUCAGAGGUGAAGGGUCACGGCAAAUGAGUACAACGUUGUUUCUGUGUGAUCACCUUUCUCCCAUGAUGCAACAUUGCUAUCGUGAUGGGAGUGGUCUCUUUCAGGAUGACAUUGUCCUCAUCCAUAGGGCACCGACGAGGGGUCACCGACGCGAGGGGUCACCGACGCGAGGGGUCACCGACGCGAGGGGUCACCGACGCGAGGGGUCACCGACGCGAGGGGUCACCGAAUGAUUUGAUGAGUAUGACAAUGAUGUGAAUCAUGUGCUAUGGCCUUUGCUGUCACCUGAACACCUCGGGGAGGUUUUGGAGCGACGCGUUAGACAGCGCUCAACACACCUGAACACCUCGG
Clupea harengus (Atlantic herring) is the source of this 352-nucleotide long non-coding RNA. NCBI's taxonomy places the organism in Eukaryota, Metazoa, Chordata, Actinopteri, Clupeiformes, Clupeidae. The record is from Ensembl.